This 253-nucleotide ribosomal RNA is filed under the name uncultured bacterium. RNAcentral's name for it is "partial 16S ribosomal RNA". It matches the Rfam family "Bacterial small subunit ribosomal RNA", at positions 524 to 776 of the family's 1533-position model. The record is from RNAcentral.
UACGUAGGCAGCGAGCGUUGUUCAGAGUUACUGGGCGUAAAGAGUGCGUAGGCGGUUUUCUAAGUUUGGUGUGAAAUCUCCCGGCUUAACUGGGAGGGUGCGCCGAAGGCUGGAAGGCUUGAGUAUGGGAGAGGUAAGCGGAAUUCCUGGUGUAGCGGUGAAAUGCGUAGAUAUCAGGAGGAACACCUGCGGUGUAGACGGCUUACUGGACCAUCACUGACGCUGAGGCACGAAAGCGUGGGUAGCAAACAGG